This 3566-nucleotide long non-coding RNA is filed under the name Malus domestica (apple). RNAcentral describes it as "long non-coding RNA (MDOM_LNC001933)". The record is from RNAcentral. Lineage: Eukaryota; Viridiplantae; Streptophyta; Magnoliopsida; Rosales; Rosaceae.
CUUUAACUAAUUAAACUUGAAUGCAACAUUUUCAUUUGGUUUUUGUAUCCAUAAAUUAAUUUAAGUGGAGCUAAAUGAAAUGAAAAUCCAAUUCUCAUUUAAAGAUACAAAACUAUUUUGUUCUCAACUAAUUUGGGCCAAAAAACAAUAACUUCAACCAUUGGGCUAUAUUGCAAAACAUAAACUUUUGAGGUCACUUUGUAAAAGCACAAAAGUCCACUACUUCAUGUAAUUACAACUAGAACCCAAAAUUUCAUCAAAUACAAAAACUUCAUUAAAGGAGCAAAACAUUUUGUCCUUUAGUGAUUUUGGGCCUUUACGUAAAUACGGAAACUUUUUGGUCAAAGUACAAAUACACAAAAGUAUCAAAACUUUACGUAAUUGCAUAAAAGCCUCAAAAAUACCUUACUUUAUAGGGUGGCCGGUUUGGGUAGUGAAAAAGGGGGAAGUAGGUUUUGGUGAAAAUUCAAAAAUUUAAAGAGUGUUGAAAAAGGUGAAAGGGAUGGGUUGGAAAAGUUGAUUGGUAUGGGUGUUGAUUAAAAAAUGACAAAUCAUGUCAUACCAUUUAUUACAAUAAAGUCACACCAACCUUCAUAAACAAAACUUUAUGCAAAACAUCAAACACUUUGAAUCAAAACACCAAACCUUUUUGUUCUAGGUAAGAACUUCAAGAACUUUGAAGAACACACAUGAAAACUCAUAAAAGCUCCAUGAAUGUUUUCACUCAAUAAAAAUCAAAUUUUCACUACACAAAAGAGGGUUAACAUCCUAGGUCACUUAGGGGUUCCAAAGGUCACUUUAAAACUCUUUUAACAAGACAAACAUGAACCCAAAAAUCCACCCGUUGGAUUUGGUCGAAUUUCCCAAACAACAUGGCACCAAAUUUUAGCUCCAAAAUUCAUGUUCAUCUGAAACUACAUCUACAACAUUUGAGAUGGCAAAUUUUCUAACAAAAUUUACAUUCAAAGAAGCAAGAAUAAAGCUUGUACCAAUUACAACAUUCAAAUCAUAAACAAUGAAAAUACAAAACCCAAAAGGAUUCACCAACUACUAGACCUAGGCUCUGAUACCACUUGAAGGAAAUUUUGUGAAAAACAUGUUCAUUUGAGCAACAUCUAUAGCAUGCAAUUAACAUUUAAAGGCGGAAUCAUGCUUGUAUGCACUCAAAAACAAAACAUUACCCAUGAAAUUCAAAGCCUAGUAGUUAUGUGAACCAAGACUCAACUCAAGAACAAAGUGAGUUGAGAAAUUUUAUACCUUUGUUGAUUCCUCUUUGCAUAAGCAAAGGCUAAUCGCCCAAGGAGAGGUCCUUCAUUCCUUAUUUCUUAGCUCCAUGGAUUUCUUGGAUGAGGAUGGUUGAAAGGAUUCUCCAAGUUCCAAAAGUUGAGAACCUUUAAGUCUCCACACCAAAGUAGGACUUGAAGAAGAGAUGAGUGACCUAGAGGAAGUAAGAUUGCUAGCUAAAAUCCUCUAGGGUGGCCGGCCUCUUAGAGAGAAAAGGGAGCUUGUGUUCUAAUCUUUUUCUCCAAAAGAAAACCCUAAGGAUGAAAUGGCUAUAAAGUUGCCUCUAUAUCACCUCAUAAUGGAGUGGCAAACUUGCAAUUAAGCCAAGUUCACUACCCCUCUCUAUAUGGCCGACCAUUAAGGGUUCAUUGGGCUUUCAAGCCCUUUGUGGUUUCAAGUUGUCAUACAACUUGAGUUAAUAGGCUGGACAUUCAAAUCCCAUUGGGCCUUGCGGCCCAAAACUAACCCGAGGUCUAUAACGAACUUAUUCAUUUGAUUAAUUAACAUAUUAAUUAAUCCAAGCCAUAAAUAAUUAAACCAUUUAAUUAUCCUUACUCAUCUCUGUUGUUUCUUCAAUCUCUACCUUACACGGUGUACGAUCCAUUAGGUUCCUUUUAGCGAGGCAGUGGGCGAUUCGAACUCUUUCAAAUCGAUUGUGAAUUGAAACUUACUUUCAAUUCUCCCUUUAGUGAUUAUAUACGUUUAGGGCUUCCACAAACCAUGAGUGACCCCUAGUAGUAUGUCAUGGUUACCCAAGCUAAUCAGAAGAGGUGGAGAACCUAUUCAGUUUAGGAUUACAAUGCAAUACAGUCUUUCUCUAAUUUUGAUAAUUUAUUCAUGUCUACUAUCCAAUGUGAUUCAUUUACUUAUAUGAUUACCUUGAAUGUGAUUUGGAACGACUUCCUAAAUCUCAUUCAUACUCUGACCAGAGAUUCUUAAUCAUAUCAUAGAGUAUUCUCCCUCAAACAAUUUGAAGGUUAGAGAUCCCUUGUUGCGCAUUCAUUUGCCUCCAUGGCUAAGUGGCUUAACCCUAACUAUGUCGUGGACACCCUCGGAUGGAGUGACUUUGAUAUAGUCAAAAGAUCAAGGACCUAACCACAAGACAACUAUGAUGCCUCAGGUCAAAUGACUACUUUGCAUUAUCCCAACCAUGAGUUCUCAUGUGACAUGAGUAUGAGAACUCCUUGUUGAUCGUGUUCAGUGAACUCAUUCUCUAUUGAGAACCUACGUACUUGUCUUGGUGUCAGUCACACCAAUGACUCAAGACCAGUCACUCUCCCUAAGAAAAGACAUAACACGUACUGAUCUUAACGGACUGUCAAUGCCUAAUUGACAAUCCUAUGAUCAGGAACGUUUAGGAUAUGUAUACGAAAGAGAAUGGUCUCAUGAAUCUAACUUCUUUUGAUCGCAUUCUCCCAAUUACAUAUUACUUGGACUUAUCGUUUAAGCGUAUAACAUUUAUAUGAGACGGCUUCAAACAAUAAUCUUUGCCCUUUAAAUUAAACUAUAUUAGUUUAGCAUGUGAAAUGUCCGUAAAGUAUCAUCAUAUGAUUGGUUUUAGGACAAAUUUCCAACAGAGAUUGCAUACGCCAAAAAUUGCAAAAAACAAACAUUCAGAGAUCAAGUAACGGGACAAAAGUUUUCGACGGUUAUCAAGGAAAAAUCACAAUUUAACGAUUAUUUUAACUCUGAUUUUGAUGAUUUUUUACAACUACACUCCUUGACCCUAUAUGAAUACAAUGAAUGAAUUCGAUCUUCAAUUUAAAAUAUUUACAAUAGUGGAUACCACAAAAUAUUAUGUUAUACUUAAUGAAAGUAUAAAUAAACUCUUAUUGUUAGUGAAUCUAUCGUUUUGAUGGGAUACGCAUUCUAUAAAACUAAUUUCAGCGAUCCAACCGUUAAACUUGUUUGUAUAUGCUUCAAGAUUGCACACGCCAAAAAUCGUAAAAAACAAACAUUUGGAGAUCAAGUAACAAGACAAAAAAUUUCGACGGUUAUCAACGAAAAUCACGAUUUAACGGUUAUUUUAACUCCGAUUUUAAUGAUUUUUUACAGCUACACUCCUUGAUCCUAUUUGAAUACAAUGAAUGAAUUCAAUCUUCAAUUUAAAAUAUUUACACUAGUGGAUACCACAAAAUCUUAUGUUAUGACGAUCAAUGAAAAUUGAGGAUUUUGUAAAAGGAAUAACAUGCAAGCUUUGAGUUCCAUUGAAAAGGUUUAAACUUUGGGAAACUUUGGAUGCGGUCCCUAGUUAUGAAUAAUCUUUGACUGAAACUUUGUUG